GGGGUUGUGGCUCAGUGGUAGAGUGCUUGCCUAGCAUACAUGAGGCAUUGGGUUCAAUCCUCAGCACCA
Molecule: non-coding RNA, 69 nt
Organism: Ictidomys tridecemlineatus (thirteen-lined ground squirrel)
Lineage: Eukaryota; Metazoa; Chordata; Mammalia; Rodentia; Sciuridae
Source: Rfam